RNAcentral lists this ribosomal RNA (204 nucleotides) under Troglophilus ferzenensis. RNAcentral's name for it is "partial 12S ribosomal RNA". The record is from RNAcentral. Lineage: Eukaryota; Metazoa; Arthropoda; Insecta; Orthoptera; Rhaphidophoridae.
CGAUAGUUCACGUUUAAUUUUACUUAUUCUUGUAAAAUCAAUUUGUAUACCGCCGUCAUAAGAUUAUCUUUUUAGAGAAUGAAUUUUCUUUAUAUUUGAGUAAAUAGAAUGUCAGGUCAAGGUGCAGUUUAUGGAUAAGGGGAGAUGGAUUACAAUAAAAUUCUUUAUACGAAUGAAAGAUGAAUUUAUUUAUUAAAGGUGGAU